GGAUUAGAUACCCUGGUAGUCCACGCCGUAAACGAUGCACACUAGAUCGGGGCCGUUCUGACACGGUCCCGGUCGAAGGAAAACUGUUAAGUACGCCGCCUGGGGAGUACGGUCGCAAGGCUAAAACUCAAAGGAAUUGACGGGGGCUCACACAAGCGGUGGAGCAUGUGGCUUAAUUCGAAGCAACGCGAAGAACCUUAUCCAGGGUUUGACAUGUAUGGAUUAACUCGAUGAAAGUCGAGCCACGCUCUUUGAGUGGAACAUACACAGGUGCUGCAUGGCUGUCGUCAGCUCGUGUCG
Molecule: ribosomal RNA, 300 nt
Filed under: uncultured bacterium
Lineage: Bacteria
Description: bacterial SSU rRNA
Rfam family: Bacterial small subunit ribosomal RNA
Source: RNAcentral